RNAcentral lists this transfer RNA (72 nucleotides) under Chloroflexaceae bacterium. RNAcentral's name for it is "tRNA-Asn". It matches the Rfam family "tRNA". Rfam says of the family: Transfer RNA (tRNA) molecules are approximately 80 nucleotides in length. Their secondary structure includes four short double-helical elements and three loops (D, anti-codon, and T loops). Lineage: Bacteria; Bacillati; Chloroflexota; Chloroflexia; Chloroflexales; Chloroflexaceae. The record is from RNAcentral. RNAcentral also lists the same sequence under 1 other name.
UCCUCAGUAGCUCAGUGGUAGAGCGAUCGGCUGUUAACCGAUUGGUCGUAGGUUCGAAUCCUACCUGGGGAG